RNAcentral lists this ribosomal RNA (441 nucleotides) under uncultured bacterium. Its description in RNAcentral is "partial 16S ribosomal RNA". It matches the Rfam family "Bacterial small subunit ribosomal RNA", at positions 338 to 795 of the family's 1533-position model. The record is from RNAcentral.
CCUACGGGUGGCAGCAGUGGGGGAUAUUGCACAAUGGGGGAAACCCUGAUGCAGCGACGCCGCGUGGGUGAAGAAGUUUUUCGGUAUGUAAAGCCCUAUCAGCAGGGAAGAAAGAAGACGGUACCUGACUAAGAAGCCCCGGCUACCUACGUGCCAGCAGCCGCGGUAAUACGUAGGGGGCGAGCGUUAUCCGGAUUCACUGGGUGUAAAGGGAGCGUAGACGGCCGUGCAAGCCAGGAGUGAAAGCCCGGGGCCCAACCCCGGGACUGCUCUUGGAACUGUGCGGCUGGAGUGCGGGAGGGGCAGGCGGAAUUCCUGGUGUAGCGGUGAAAUGCGUAGAUAUCAGGAGGAACACCGGCGGCGAAGGCGGCCUGCUGGACCGCGACUGACGUUGAGGCUCGAAAGCGUGGGGAGCGAACAGGAUUAGAUACCCGGGUAGUC